This 3128-nucleotide long non-coding RNA is filed under the name Daphnia magna. Its description in RNAcentral is "uncharacterized LOC116918920, transcript variant X2". The record is from RNAcentral. Lineage: Eukaryota; Metazoa; Arthropoda; Branchiopoda; Diplostraca; Daphniidae.
GGCACAGGAAGGUCAGUCGGGCCGUCACGUGAACGCACCAGCGUCUGGUUCCGGACUUGUUUUCUUUUUUUCCAACGUGUUUUCUAGGCCGUGCGCACGGCCGCCUCUUGUUUGGUUUGUUUGGGGAAAUGUAAAAAAAUAAAAGGAAGUAAAAUGGAUUUUGUCGCAACCUUCAAUUGUCUACACAAUUCCUAACAUCUUUCUGUUUUGGCUGUUCUGUUUUUGUUUUUCAAAUCUCUCCUGACCCUUCCCUCUAAUCGAUGAAUCAAAUACGACAGCCAAACACAACGUCAAGCGAAAAAAGAAACAGACGACACAAUAACAUUUCGCUCGUUGGCCAUUUCCAGGAAAGAAAACAAAUCGAUAACACGAAGGCUAGUCUAGUACGAACGUUGCCGCCAUUGUGAAAUCAAAAACAACAUUCCCGAAACAACAACAACAAAAUCAAAGAAAUGGCAAGAUGAAGGUAAAAUGGCUGUCUGCUAACACGGCGCAGCAAAACAGUCGUCGACUUAGAUAUUUUCAUACGUCAGUCAAGAGGAGAGGUGGCAAAGUAAAUUGAAUCAUUGCACAGUGACACGAACGUCUGCGAAAUCCCGGCUCGUCAAGAGCUCUUGACGAGAAUCUCAUGCCCGAGAUUUCUGCGAAUUGCGCGCGAAAAAACGGAGGCAAAAACACGUUCGCAUUUCAAAUAAAAACAUACGCACACACACAAAAAAAUGGGAGGAUUGCAGACACAUCCAUCCGACGUGAGAAAAAAAAAAACAACAAACUUUUGGAAGCUUUCCAAAGUGGGGAAUGAGCGUCUGAUUCAAUCUUACUACUUUACAAUUUACACCAUACUAUGCUAAGGUGGUGUGUAUCAACGCAAAGCAAAUCUUGAUGAAGGAAGAAGCGGAAGAACAAGAGAAAAAUAAAAAAAAUAAAAGGAAGUUCAGUUGCAUCUUUGAAUGUGAAAACAGCGCGGCAAACAAAAAAUCGCCUAUGACGACAGAAGUGGCAGAAGUAAGCGGAAGUAUGCGCCAGAUCGAUUCCAGCGGGAGGAUAGAAUUAAAAAAAUCCAGUAAAUAGAGAUGCUACUCCGUGCAUUCUUUUUCCCUAUUAUUGAAGGUAUUCAAGAGAAAGGAAAACAAAAAAUGCGGAUCGAUCCAGUAAGCAAACGGAAAUAUCGCCCCUCCCCCCUCAUUUUUAUUCCCAUUUUGUUUUUGUUUAUAUACAGAUUUUUUUUUUUUUUUUCCCCGGUCACGUUGCUGGAUGCACUCGGCUCGGUACAACUGAACUUGGAUGGGGGAAACAUCCUGCGCUUAGACGUCGUACAAGUCCGAAUUGUAGGGCGCAAGUGCGCACAAUGUUCCGGCGCAUCAGCGCCAUCGUCUCGUACGGAAACACACAGACAACAGACGCAUGGAGAUAGAGAGACACACACAAACUAUGGGGAUACGAUAUACCUAGCCCCUCCAUGUCUUUACGAUGCGGUAAGAGAGAGAGAGAGAGCGCAAAAAAAAGGGGGGGUGGGGGGCGAUCAAUAUCUCAUUCUAGUAAGAACUGAACCCUCUCUCCUUUGGCCUCGACGCUUCGGAGAAACUAACGCAAAACGUCAAGGAUUUCGCAAAUCUUUUCUACAUAAUGUACUGGUAUGUUUUUAAGCAAACAGCUUCCUUCCGUGCUUCAUCCUAAUUUUGGCAAUCGAUAGUUAAUUUUAAAAAUAUAUAUAUAUAUAUUAAAGAGCUUAGCACAUGGCGGUGAUGGCUGCGGACAGAGGGAAAGAUAAACAAAAGAAAUAGAGCAAUUCAACUUCAUCAGCAAUCUACUUGUUUCCCCCACUAGAACGCAAUGGUACUGCCAUGACCUCCACCCUGCGUAGCGCUGCAGAAAUGACGGCACUUGAUUCGACGCAAUCCAAUAACACGCUCUGUCGCCACCAGACGAUUGACGGUCCCUUUCAAUCAUAGACCAGCACACAAACAUCCCCCCAAAAAAUAUAGACAAGAAUAAAAAAAAAAAAAAAAAUGACAUAAAUUAGCGGAAUUUCGUCUGUUACAUAACCAAAAAAUUUCGAAACCACUGGCAAUUAAUAAUUCCCAAUUUCCUUAAUCAAAGUAAUUAUUCCCUUCAGUUUUCGUAAAGGGACAUAAAACACACAUCUUUGAUCGCCGAAACGAUUCCUGUUUACUAAUAGAAAAUCAUUCCACUGGUAAUCGCGUUAUCUACGUGACAACGAGUGGCAGGCUACCAAAAAAAAAGAGCUUACAAACAGAGUGUGUGUGUGUGUGUGUGUAUGUUUGGAAGGGAGGAAACGUUGCAAGAGCUCCGGAAGCGAUACGAGAUGUCAUUCUUAGAGGGGGGUUUCUCCUUUUUGUAGACUACAAUGUGCGCUUGGAAAUUGAACAGAGUGAUGGGAAAGAAAGAAGCACUACAGUAGUAAUAGUAGUAGUAGUAGUAGCGGUGGGGUUGGUCGUAUCUGUCAUGGAUGUCAACUGGCACGACGCUGCGGCAUUUUGCCGGAUGACAAUAAAAAGAAGCAAAAGAUAUAAGUGGCCGGGCUGAGAGGAUAGAAAGCGACUGUGUUGGAUUCAUCUGCCAUCGGUCCGUGUUUUGUCAAAGAGACAGGGACCACUUUGAUAAAUCAACCGACAUCCGUAAGUGGACCCGCACCGCAUGGAGCAAAACCCUAACGUAAUCCGGAAAUCAUUCUCUUUGCCCAUCCUCAUUGAAUUUCUCGUUUUUAUUUGACCUUCUACACCCCCAAACGUUUCAGAAUAAUUGGGUAAACUUCGAAAAAUAAAAAAUACAAAUUCAAAAAGAAAAUGGCGGAAAUCCUCACAUUUACAAUUCCCCUCCAAAAAAGGGAAAAAGAAUAGAUACUCAUCAGUUCUCGAUGAUCAAGCGCAGCUGAAUAGACGUCAACGACAUUAACACGAAACUCCGAGAUAAUGUUAGAUAACUUUUUCUCUCAACACCGGUAGAUUAUUCACGUUACAUAACAUUAUUACGGCUUUAUUAUGCGACCCGUUGCCAGGCCAAGGGACAAGGAAAGUCAAUGAGAAUUUUAAACAAGUUUUAAAAGAAGACGAGACUGCAUAAUGGGCCUCUUCAAUCAAUGUUCAAAUUUUGUGUGCGUGUUUCUA